GAUGAACGCUGGCGGCGUGCCUAAUACAUGCAAGUCGAGCGAACAGACGAGGAUCUUGCUCCUCUGACGUUAGCGGCGGAAGGGUGAGUAACACGUGGAGAACCUACCUAUAAGACUGGGAUAACUUCCGGAAACCGUUGCUAGUACCGGAUAAUAUAUUGAACCGCAUGGUUCAAUAGUUACAGACGGUUUUGCUGUCACUUAUAGAUAGAUCCGCGCCGCCUUAGCUAGUUGGUAAGGUAACUGCUUCCCAAGGCGACGAUGAGUAGCCGACCUGAGAGGGUGAUCGGCGACACUGGAACUGAGACACGGUCCAGACUCCUACGGGAGGCAGCAGUAGGGAAUCGUCCGCAAUGGGCGAAAGACUGCCGGAGCAACGCAGCGUGAGUGAUGAAGCUCUUCGGAUCGUAAAACUCUGUUAGUAGGGAAGAACAAAUGUGUAAGUAACUAUGCACGUCUUGACGGUACCUAAUCAGAAAGCCACGGCUAACUACGUG
This 497-nucleotide ribosomal RNA is filed under the name uncultured bacterium. RNAcentral describes it as "partial 16S ribosomal RNA". It matches the Rfam family "Bacterial small subunit ribosomal RNA", at positions 28 to 507 of the family's 1533-position model. The record is from RNAcentral.